Molecule: ribosomal RNA, 253 nt
Filed under: uncultured bacterium
Lineage: Bacteria
Description: partial 16S ribosomal RNA
Rfam family: Bacterial small subunit ribosomal RNA
Source: RNAcentral
GACAGAGGAUGCAAGCGUUAUCCGGAAUGAUUGGGCGUAAAGCGUCUGUAGGUGGCUUUUCAAGUCCGCCGUCAAAUCCCAGGGCUCAACCCUGGACAGGCGGUGGAAACUACCAAGCUGGAGUACGGUAGGGGCAGAGGGAAUUUCCGGUGGAGCGGUGAAAUGCAUUGAGAUCGGAAAGAACACCAACGGUGAAAGCACUCUGCUGGGCCGACACUGACACUGAGACGCGAAAGCGUGGGGAGCAAACAGG